Molecule: ribosomal RNA, 253 nt
Filed under: uncultured bacterium
Lineage: Bacteria
Description: partial 16S ribosomal RNA
Rfam family: Bacterial small subunit ribosomal RNA
Source: RNAcentral
GACGAACCGUGCGAACGUUAUUCGGAAUCACUGGGCUUAAAGGGCGCGUAGGCGGGCGGCCAAGUCAGAGGUGAAAGCCCCCAGCUCAACUGGGGAAGUGCCUUUGAUACUGGUCGUCUCGAGGGAGAUAGGGGCGUGCGGAACUUCCGGUGGAGCGGUGAAAUGCGUAGAUAUCGGAAGGAACACCGGUGGCGAAAGCGGCGCGCUGGAUCUCUUCUGACGCUGAGGCGCGAAAGCCAGGGGAGCGAACGGG